Molecule: small nucleolar RNA, 135 nt
Organism: Echinops telfairi (small Madagascar hedgehog)
Lineage: Eukaryota; Metazoa; Chordata; Mammalia; Afrosoricida; Tenrecidae
Product: small nucleolar RNA SNORA42/SNORA80 family
Exons: 1
Source: RefSeq, a predicted model, not a curated record
GCAUGGGUUUAGAUUUAUGGCAGGCCGUGCCCAUGGGCCUCUCAUAGUGUCCCAUGCCAGAGCAAACCAGAGCCCCCAACCAUUGCCUUGCCUCCUAUCCCGUGGGCUUCCAGUACUGAAGCAGACUGCACAAAG